Molecule: ribosomal RNA, 496 nt
Filed under: uncultured bacterium
Lineage: Bacteria
Description: partial 16S ribosomal RNA
Rfam family: Bacterial small subunit ribosomal RNA
Source: RNAcentral
GACGAACGCUGGCGGCGUGCCUAAUACAUGCAAGUUGAGCGCUGAAGGUUGGUACUUGUACCAACUGGAUGAGCAGCGAACGGGUGAGUAACGCGUGGGGAAUCUGCCUUUGAGCGGGGGGCAACAUUUGGAAACGAAUGCUAAUACCGCAUAAAAACUUUAAACACAAGUUUUAAGUUUGAAAGAUGCAAUUGCAUCACUCAAAGAUGAUCCCGCGUUGUAUUAGCUAGUUGGUGAGGUAAAGGCUCACCAAGGCGAUGAUACAUAGCCGACCUGAGAGGGUGAUCGGCCACAUUGGGACUGAGACACGGCCCAAACUCCUACGGGAGGCAGCAGUAGGGAAUCUUCGGCAAUGGACGAAAGUCUGACCGAGCAACGCCGCGUGAGUGAAGAAGGUUUUCGGAUCGUAAAACUCUGUUGGUAGAGAAGAACGUUGGUGAGAGUGGAAAGCUCAUCAAGUGACGGUAACUACCCAGAAAGGGACGGCUAACUACGU